AGUUAAGAAGCUCGUAGUUGGAUUUCUGUGGGGACGGGGCGGCCGGCCGCAACUCGCGGUUCGAGCUAGCACUUUCCCUACAUCCUGCCGCGAACCGUGCUACCAUUAGUUUGGUGGCGCCGGGGAUCGGCUCGAUUACUUUGAGAAAAAUAGAGUGUUCAAAGCAGGCCACACGCCUUGAGUAAGUUAGCAUGGAAUAAUAACUAAGGACUUCGGUUCUAUUUUGUUGGUGUUCGGGACUGAAGUAAUGAUUGAUAGGGACAGUUGGGGCGGUCAGUAUUCCAAAGCGAGAGGUGAAAUUCUUAGACCUUCGGAAGACUAACAGCUGCGAAAGCGUUCCGCAAGGAUGUUCCCUUUGAUCAAGAACGAAAGUUGGGGGAUCGAAGACGAUCAGAUACCGUCGUAGUCUCAACUAUAAACUAUACCAGCUAGGGAUCGGCCAACGUUAUUUCAUACCGACUUGGUCGGCACCUUAUGAGAAAUCAAAGCAUCUGGGUUCCGGGGGGAGUAUGGUCGCAAGGCUGAAACUUAAAGGAAUUGACGGAAGGGCACCACCAGCCGUGGAGCCUGUGGCUUAAUUUGACUCAACACGGGAAAACUUACCAGGUCCAGACAUAGUAAGGAUUGACAGAUUGAUAGCUCUUUCUUGAUUCUGUG
This 657-nucleotide ribosomal RNA is filed under the name uncultured marine eukaryote. Its description in RNAcentral is "SSU rRNA". It matches the Rfam family "Eukaryotic small subunit ribosomal RNA", at positions 617 to 1272 of the family's 1831-position model. The record is from RNAcentral.